RNAcentral lists this ribosomal RNA (487 nucleotides) under uncultured bacterium. Its description in RNAcentral is "partial 16S ribosomal RNA". It matches the Rfam family "Bacterial small subunit ribosomal RNA", at positions 28 to 507 of the family's 1533-position model. The record is from RNAcentral.
GACGAACGCUGGCGGCGUGCUUAACACAUGCAAGUCGAACGUGUUCUGUCUGCCUGUGUGCUGGGUGGGGCUAGUGGCGAACGGGUGGGUAAUACGUGAGUACCCUGCCCUCUUAUUUGGGGUAACCCUUGGAAACGUGGUCUAAUACUGGUUAUUCCUGUCUGGUCGCAUGGUUGGGUGGGGCAAGUUUUUUUCGGUGGGGGAUAGGCUCGCGGCCUUUCAGCUUGUUGGUUGUGUGAUGGCCUACCUAGGCGUCGACGGGUAGCCGGCCUGCGAGGGUGACAGGCCAAACUGAGACUGAGAUACGGGCCAGACUGCUACGGACGGAUGCAGUGGGGGAUAGUGGACAAUGGGCGCAAGCCAGAGGCAGCGACGCCGCGUGGCGGAUAACGGCUUGCGGUGUGUAAACCUCUUUCGUCGGGGGACGAGGCUCUGCUUGGUGGUGGGGUUGAGGGUACCCGGUGAAGAAGCGCCGGCGAACUACGUG